This is a non-coding RNA of Cadophora gregata, 112 nucleotides long. NCBI's taxonomy places the organism in Eukaryota, Fungi, Ascomycota, Leotiomycetes, Helotiales, Ploettnerulaceae. The record is from the annotation of a RefSeq genome assembly.
GGCAACUUGGCUGAGUGGUUAUAGCGACAGACUAGAACAUCUCUCUUCGGAGAACCAUAUUCUGGGUUAUCUGUUUCCUUCGGGAGCGUAGGUUCAAAUCCUGCAGUUGUCG